Molecule: long non-coding RNA, 941 nt
Filed under: Calidris pugnax (ruff)
Lineage: Eukaryota; Metazoa; Chordata; Aves; Charadriiformes; Scolopacidae
Description: lncRNA (ENSCPUG00000016632.1)
Source: RNAcentral
UCUCUAGGUUUGCUGUUAAAGGAGAGGCCGCUGGCCGGGAAUUCGCACAGUAGUCGUGGUGUCGCACACUCUCGCUUACUCUGGGGUGUGUUACCUCGUCCUUCAGGCUUGGCCCUGGGUUUCCCGCAGCAGAGUCUCAGGCGUUGGUUUUUAAAAAAAUAAUAAUUUAAUUGGAAGGUGCAGCAGCAAGGACGGACCAGUGCCUCCAAAGAGAGGUGACCGUGAACAAAGAAAUGGGUGUUGCUGUUGAGACAGCCAUGAAGACACACACACCUUCAUGAGCAAGAGCCCAAAAGACCCAACUUUAUUGUUUUAACAAACUCUUUUAUAUCUUUCUUAGGAACAUGUGUCCAUAUAUAAUUGGUUCACUCAACGUCCAGCAGUUCAUGAUUGGAUAACCUCCUCCUUCUUUGUUCUCUGCUGUAACUUCAGUAACUUUCCUCUGCUGGCAGUCUGACAGGUCCUUAGUCUUAUUUACUCCCCUCAGGACUCUCAGGCCUCUUCAAGGAUACACAGGUGUCUGCUCAAGGUGGAUGUUAAGCUCACAUUCCAAUCCCUCGGACCAGCUGAGGUUUCCCACAGAACCCUCUGAGCUUCUUAGGCGUGGAAAAAAAAGAACGUGUUUCCUUCUUUCCCUGACUGCAACUGGUGGAUCUGCCUAUGUGCUCAGUGAAAGGAACACGGGUGAUACAUGGGUGAUGCAAAAAUCAGCUUAAAAGUCAGAUCAGCGAGGCGAGUUCUGAAUCCUUUCCAGGAUACCUAAGAAAACAUAAGAUAAGUUGGGAAAUUAGCCAGCGUCCUGAAUGUGCACUCAGCCAAGUCACCUUGGAUAGAAGUGAGGACUGCAGAAUCACAACAUAAUGUCUAUUUAAAGGCAAGUACAGGGUUUUUUUUUAAGAAACUCUUCUUUUUUUAACUAGUUCAGAUUUGCAAUUGUAUUU